RNAcentral lists this ribosomal RNA (278 nucleotides) under Shigella flexneri. Its description in RNAcentral is "partial 23S ribosomal RNA". It matches the Rfam family "Bacterial large subunit ribosomal RNA", at positions 909 to 1184 of the family's 2925-position model. The record is from RNAcentral. Lineage: Bacteria; Pseudomonadati; Pseudomonadota; Gammaproteobacteria; Enterobacterales; Enterobacteriaceae.
ACUGUUUCGGCAAGGGGGUCAUCCCGACUUACCAACCCGAUGCAAACUGCGAAUACCGGAGAAUGUUAUUACGGGAGACACACGGCGGGUGCUAACGUCCGUCGUGAAGAGGGAAACAACCCAGACCGCCAGCUAAGGUCCCAAAGUCAUGGUUAAGUGGGAAACGAUGUGGGAAGGCCCAGACAGCCAGGAUGUUGGCUUAGAAGCAGCCAUCAUUUAAAGAAAGCGUAAUAGCUCACUGGUCGAGUCGGCCUGCGCGGAAGAUGUAACGGGGCUAA